This 500-nucleotide ribosomal RNA is filed under the name uncultured Myrionecta. RNAcentral's name for it is "bacterial SSU rRNA". It matches the Rfam family "Eukaryotic small subunit ribosomal RNA", at positions 1212 to 1798 of the family's 1831-position model. Lineage: Eukaryota; Ciliophora; Litostomatea; Cyclotrichida; Mesodiniidae. The record is from RNAcentral.
AACUUACCAGGUCAAGACAUGGGCGUGAUUGACAGGCUAAUGACUUUUCUCGAUUCCAUGGAUGGUGGUGCAUGGUCGCACUUAGUUGGUGCAGUGAUUUGUCAGGUUUAUUCCGGUAACGAACGAGACCUCGGCCUUGUAAAUAGCUAUGCUGCUUACAGGGACAUUGGCGGCUACGCCAAGGAAGCUCGAGGCAAUUGCAGAUCUGGAAUGCCCUUAGAUGUCCUGGGUCGCACGCGUGCUACAAUGACGCCACGAACGAGCUUGCGUGAUGAAAGUUACGCAUAAUCAGCAGUCGGCGUCUUAAGGGAUAGUCUCUUGUAACUGUGGGACUCCAACUAGGAAUGUCUCGUAAGCACAAGUCAACAUCUUGUGUUGAUUACGUCCCUGCUCUUUGUACUCACCGCCCGUCGCUCCUACCGAUCGAGUGUUUAGGUGAAUUUGAUGGACGUAAGGAAGUCAAAUAAACCUGAGCACUAGAGAAGAGAAGUCGAAGCAUC